RNAcentral lists this non-coding RNA (77 nucleotides) under Vibrio crassostreae. Lineage: Bacteria; Pseudomonadati; Pseudomonadota; Gammaproteobacteria; Vibrionales; Vibrionaceae. The record is from RNAcentral.
CUAGGCUAGCAGUGAUGCUAGACGAAGAUUGAUAAGAAGUCAGCAGAGGGCAUAGUACCUACAAUGUGGGGAAGGCC